This 2223-nucleotide long non-coding RNA is filed under the name Homo sapiens (human). RNAcentral describes it as "HSALNT0024941". The record is from RNAcentral. Lineage: Eukaryota; Metazoa; Chordata; Mammalia; Primates; Hominidae.
GUGAGUGACAGUUUUUAAAUCCAUUACCAUUAGAAAACCACAGGUUUUAAGAAAAUUUUAUUUUCCAUUUAUAUUGAGGUACAAUUGACAUAUAGUAAAUUUCACCCUUUUAAGCACACAGUUCUUAGAAUUUUGAAAUACAGUUAUGUAACCACCACCACAAUCAAGAUACACAACAGUGCCAUCGGCCCCUAAAAUUCCCCCAUGCCUCUUUUGUAACCAUCCCCUCUUCAAACCGCAGCCCUUGGCAACCACUAAUCUGUUUUUCUUCCUGUAGUUUGGCUUUCUUAAGAAUGUCGUAUAAACUGAGUCAUGGAGUAGGUAGCCCUUGGUAUCCUGCUUCUUUCAGCUAGCAUAAUGCAUGUGAGAUCCAUUCAUGCUGUUGUGCAAAACAGUAGUUUGUUUCUUUUUAUUGCUGAGUAAGGAUUUUAUUGUAUGGAAUGUACCAGUUUGUUUAUCCAUUCUCCAGUUGAGAAACAUUUGGGUAGUUUUUAGUUCCUGGUGAUGACAGAUAAAGCUGCUGCAAACAUUCAUGUGCAUAUUUUCGUGAGGAUGUAGUUUUCAUUUCACUUGAGUAAAUGCAAAGCAGUGAGAUUGCUGGGUCAUACACAAACACCAAAAUCCUAGUUUCGCCAUGAACACUGAAAUUAUGAACUACUUCAAAAUAAUAGCUUCCGUGGUGACCAGAGCAACAAAUUUUACUAGGUUUGCCUUGAAGAUUUGAAAUAUCCACAGCACCUACGUGAAUUUGCUGUGGUGCCCCAGGCUCUACCUCACUGCACAGUUUGGAAACCACAGCUUUCAGUUGUCUUCUUUUUUUAAAAUUAUUUUUAUUUUUUGAGAUGGAGUCUUGCUCUGUCAACCAGGCUGGAGUGCAGUGGCGCGAUCUCCACCUGCUGGGUUCAAGCAAUUCUUGUGCCUCAGCCUUCCAAGUAGCUGGGGUUACAGGAGCCCACCGCAACGCCUGGUUAAUUUUUGUAUUUUUAGUAGAGACUGGGUUUUGCCCUGUCGGCCAGGCUAGUCUCGAACUCCUGUCCUCAAGUGAUCCACCCACCUCAGCCUCCCAAAGUGCUGGGAUUACAAUGUGAGCUACCGUGCCCAGCCUCAGUUGUCUUCUGACUCUGAGAAGUUAAGAUUCAACUGAUUUUUAAACUUGAGGUUUGAAAUUCCUUACUAUCCACUUUUGGGACCCACUGCACUAUCAGAGAAAAGCAAGAGUAUCAGAAACACAGGUGACUGUGGAUGGAAGAGCAGUAAGCAGUUGAAGUACUUUGCUGUUUUUCCCGUAGGGGAGGACAAAUGGAUUCCUGAGGUGCAGGGCAAUCAACAGAUGAGAUCCAAGAGUCAGAACCCUGGAAUGGACCACCAGAACUUUCCCAUGGAGCCCCAGGACUUCUUCCCCCAAUUCCUGCUGUUUCUCCUCCUCCCUGUAGCAGGCUUCUUAAAGCAGGUAGUUUGACCUGCUGAGCAUCACAUUGCAUAAAACAAUGCCGGAAGACUUGAGCAAUGGUGACUUACCAAGACAGCUGGCUGCCUAUGUUUAUGGCAUUUGGAAUCCACCGGGAACACAUACAUUUGUCACAGUGUGUUCCCGAAAUAAAUGAGGCUGUCUCCCAACUGGCCCCAUAUAAUCAACGCAGCCCAGCCCCACAUAGCUACUCCAAUGAAUAAUGCUUUGUUUGCCAAAUGCAAUGGGAACCUACCACAGGCCAGGGUGCUUCCAACAACAACAACAACAAGAAACUAAAGACAGUAAGGGAGAAAGAGUGGGUAUAAGCACUUAUCAAUACAUCAGACUGGAAACUCCUAGAAUGGAAUUAUUAGAUGCAUGUAUUAUUUGGGAGCAUUAUGACCAGGAAUAUUAAUAAAACUGUGAAUAGUAUGUAUUCUUUUCAUAAUUUUGACUUAGGGAAGAGGGCAAAAAAAUAACUGUAGCUAGUUUUAGACAUCCAUAAACAAAAUUCUGUAUUACUUUCAGGUAAGACAAGAGCAAUGACAACACAGCACCACAAGCCUUGCCUGGGGUAGAGAGAUAUUAUACAAGGGAAACUGUUUAUUUGUUAGAGAAUCAUACUCAUAAUUCCCUUAAGAGUCUCUUAAUUAAUUCCCCUAAUUAGAACUUUAAUGGGUCUCCCUUUUCAUUUUCUAACAUCUUACACUGGCUACAUCAUUGAAAUAGAAUGAAAAGAAUAAACCUCUCUGCUAUUUUUUUUUAAGGUUGGC